CCUACGGGUGGCAGCAGUGGGGAAUAUUGCGCAAUGGGCGAAAGCCUGACGCAGCGACGCCGCGUGAGGGAUGAAGGUCUUCGGAUCGUAUACCUCUGUCAGCAGGGAAGAACGGUCACCGUGCUAAUCAGCAGUGAAUUGACGGUACCUGCAAAGGAAGCACCGGCUAACUCCGUGCCAGCAGCCGCGGUAAUACGGAGGGUGCGAGCGUUAAUCGGAAUUACUGGGCGUAAAGCGCUCGUAGGCGGUAUGUCAAGUCAAGGGUGAAAUCCCCGCGCUCAACGUGGGAAGUGCCUUUGAAACUGGCAAACUGGAGUGUGUGAGAGGAUAGUGGAAUUCCAGGUGUAGGAGUGAAAGCCGUAGAUAUCUGGAGGAACAUCAGUGGCGAAGGCGACUAUCUGGCACAUAACUGACGCUGAGGAGCGAAAGCGUGGGUAGCGAACAGGAUUAGAUACCCCAGUAGUC
Molecule: ribosomal RNA, 465 nt
Filed under: uncultured bacterium
Lineage: Bacteria
Description: partial 16S ribosomal RNA
Rfam family: Bacterial small subunit ribosomal RNA
Source: RNAcentral